This 465-nucleotide ribosomal RNA is filed under the name Vreelandella stevensii. RNAcentral's name for it is "partial 16S ribosomal RNA". It matches the Rfam family "Bacterial small subunit ribosomal RNA", at positions 338 to 795 of the family's 1533-position model. The record is from RNAcentral. Lineage: Bacteria; Pseudomonadati; Pseudomonadota; Gammaproteobacteria; Oceanospirillales; Halomonadaceae.
CCUACGGGAGGCUGCAGUGGGGAAUAUUGGACAAUGGGGGGAACCCUGAUCCAGCCAUGCCGCGUGUGUGAAGAAGGCCCUCGGGUUGUAAAGCACUUUCAGUGAGGAAGAACGCCUGGUGGUUAAUACCCAUCAGGAAAGACAUCACUCACAGAAGAAGCACCGGCUAACUCCGUGCCAGCAGCCGCGGUAAUACGGAGGGUGCGAGCGUUAAUCGGAAUUACUGGGCGUAAAGCGCGCGUAGGUGGCUUGAUAAGCCGGUUGUGAAAGCCCCGGGCUCAACCUGGGAACGGCAUCCGGAACUGUCAAGCUAGAGUGCAGGAGAGGAAGGUAGAAUUCCCGGUGUAGCGGUGAAAUGUGUAGAGAUCGGGAGGAAUACCAGUGGCGAAGGCGGCCUUCUGGACUGACACUGACACUGAGGUGCGAAAUCGUGGGUAGCAAACAGGAUUAGAUACCCUGGUAGUC